Molecule: non-coding RNA, 363 nt
Organism: Zootermopsis nevadensis
Lineage: Eukaryota; Metazoa; Arthropoda; Insecta; Blattodea; Termopsidae
Source: RefSeq, a predicted model, not a curated record
UGUUGACAUGGAUUGUAAUCCAUAUUCCAAGCAACAUCAGUGAAAGUCAGUUCCAUUUUCCUGUUAAAAAUGAUCCGGAGUUCGACGUUUCCAAAUGUCAUGUCAACACGGCGUGCAUAUGUAAUAUAUGGGGGACUGAUCGCGGUUAGCGAAAGAACGUGGUUUGCCAAGAUCACAUCCAGAAUUAAUCGGACCAUCCAAACCGCUAAAUGUCUAUUUCUGGCUACAUUCUGGCGGUACAUUUGGCCACGUGUGAUGGCUCUAAGCAGGAUAUUGAGAAGACCAGAUAGACAAUCUACCCGAAAGACUUCAAGAGCUGACCCACAAAAGUGUCUGGAUGAAAAUAAUGACAGCCAUUGUUCA